This 782-nucleotide ribosomal RNA is filed under the name uncultured bacterium. RNAcentral's name for it is "bacterial SSU rRNA". It matches the Rfam family "Bacterial small subunit ribosomal RNA", at positions 28 to 811 of the family's 1533-position model. The record is from RNAcentral.
GAUGAACGCUGGCGGCGUGCCUAACACAUGCAAGUCGAACGGAGCUGCUUUGAUGAAGUUUUCGGAUGGAUUUAAAACAGCUUAGUGGCGGACGGGUGAGUAACGCGUGGGUAACCUGCCUCACACUGGGGGAUAACAGUUAGAAAUAGCUGCUAAUACCGCAUAAGCGCACGGUUCCGCAUGGAACAGUGUGAAAAACUCCGGUGGUGUGAGAUGGACCCGCGUCUGAUUAGCCAGUUGGCGGGGUAACGGCCCACCAAAGCGACGAUCAGUAGCCGGCCUGAGAGGGUGAACGGCCACAUUGGGACUGAGACACGGCCCAAACUCCUACGGGAGGCAGCAGUGGGGAAUAUUGCACAAUGGGGGAAACCCUGAUGCAGCGACGCCGCGUGAGUGAAGAAGUAUUUCGGUAUGUAAAGCUCUAUCAGCAGGGAAGAAAGUGACGGUACCUGAAUAAGAAGCCCCGGCUAACUACGUGCCAGCAGCCGCGGUAAUACGUAGGGGGCAAGCGUUAUCCGGAUUUACUGGGUGUAAAGGGAGCGUAGACGGCAAGGCAAGUCUGAAGUGAAAGCCCGGUGCUUAACGCCGGGACUGCUUUGGAAACUGUUUAGCUGGAGUGCCGGAGAGGUAAGCGGAAUUCCUAGUGUAGCGGUGAAAUGCGUAGAUAUUAGGAAGAACACCAGUGGCGAAGGCGGCUUACUGGACGGUAACUGACGUUGAGGCUCGAAAGCGUGGGGAGCAAACAAAAUUAGAUACCCUGGUAGUCCACGCCGUAAACGAGA